CUACGGGCGGCAGCAGUGGGGAAUAUUGCACAAUGGAGGAAACUCUGAUGCAGCAACGCCGCGUGGAGGAUGACACUUUUCGGAGCGUAAACUCCUUUUAUAUAGGAAGAAGAUGACGGUACUAUAUGAAUAAGCGCCGGCUAGCUCCGUGCCAGCAGCCGCGGUAAUACGGAGGGCGCAAGCGUUACUCGGAAUCACUGGGCGUAAAGAGCGUGUAGGCGGAUUAAAAAGUCAGAAGUGAAAUCCUAUAGCUUAACUAUAGAACUGCUUCUGAAACUCUUAAUCUAGAAUAUGGGAGAGGUAGAUGGAAUUUCUGGUGUAGGGGUAAAAUCCGUAGAGAUCAGAAGGAAUACCGAUUGCGAAGGCGAUCUACUAGAACACUAUUGACGCUGAGACGCGAAAGCGUGGGGAGCAAACAGGAUUAGAUACCCCCGUAGUC
Molecule: ribosomal RNA, 439 nt
Filed under: uncultured bacterium
Lineage: Bacteria
Description: partial 16S ribosomal RNA
Rfam family: Bacterial small subunit ribosomal RNA
Source: RNAcentral